GAUGAACGCUGGCGGCGUGCCUAAUACAUGCAAGUCGAGCGAACAGACGAGGAGCUUGCUCCUCUGACGUUAGCGGCGGACGGGUGAGUAACACGUGGAUAACCUACCUAUAAGACUGGGAUAACUUCGGGAAACCGGAGCUAAUACCGGAUAAUAUAUUGAACCGCAUGGUUCAAUAGUGAAAGACGGUUUUGCUGUCACUUAUAGAUGGAUCCGCGCCGCAUUAGCUAGUUGGUAAGGUAACGGCUUACCAAGGCAACGAUGCGUAGCCGACCUGAGAGGGUGAUCGGCCACACUGGAACUGAGACACGGUCCAGACUCCUACGGGAGGCAGCAGUAGGGAAUCUUCCGCAAUGGGCGAAAGCCUGACGGAGCAACGCCGCGUGAGUGAUGAAGGUCUUCGGAUCGUAAAACUCUGUUAUUAGGGAAGAACAAAUGUGUAAGUAACUAUGCACGUCUUGACGGUACCUCAUCAGAAAGCCACGGCUAACUACGUG
Molecule: ribosomal RNA, 497 nt
Filed under: uncultured bacterium
Lineage: Bacteria
Description: partial 16S ribosomal RNA
Rfam family: Bacterial small subunit ribosomal RNA
Source: RNAcentral